AAUGGGUGUAGAAAAAGCAUUUGACAAAUUUCAAAUCCUUUUCUGAGAAAACCUUAAAAAAUGACACAAUAAUAGUGUCAUUUAGCACACUAAAAUACACAAGACAAACCAAUAACUACCAUCACACUCCAUGGUGAAACUUGAAAGUUUCCCUGAAAAAUUAGGGAAAGUGCAAGAAUGCUGAGUCUGCCAGUUUUACUCAAUAUAGGUCUGAAGUCCAAGCCAGGAUAAUUAAGCAAUAAAAAUAACUAAAAUGUAUACAAGUCAAAAAAGAAAAGUAAGAGUCUCUGUUUCCAUCAGAUGUAAUGUACACAUGGAAGACCCUAAAGUUCAACCAAAAACAAUUAGAACUAAUGUUAAUUAUAUAGAUUUAGCAUAUGUAAAUAACAUACACAGUUCAGCAGAGUUUUAAAAAACAAACUAUUUGAUAAACAAUCAAGUAAAUAUUUCAUUUACAACAGCAUGAGAAGAUAAAAAUAUUUAGUAGCAAAUUUCACCCAGGAAGUGAAAAAUCUGUAUACUGAAAUAUAAAACCCAUCAAUGAAAGAAGUCAUAGAAGACAGAAUACAUGGGAAAAUAAUCCAUGAUUAUGAAUUGAAAUAUUAAUUAUUGUUACAGCCUAAGUUGAUGUACAGGUUUAAUGUAGUCCCUAUGAAUAAUCCAAGGCCUUUUUCAUAGAAAUUUUAAAAAUCCUAAAUUUUGUUUAGAACCGCAAAAGAUUCUGAAUGACCCAUGAAAUUUUAUACAAGAAGAAGUCUGUAGGCACUGAAUUAUAUGCAUACUACAGUAGGCAAAAUAUGAGAAUGCAGGCAUAAUACAGACACAUAGAACCAAGGACUCCAUGCAGAGUGCAGAAAU
Molecule: long non-coding RNA, 858 nt
Filed under: Marmota monax (woodchuck)
Lineage: Eukaryota; Metazoa; Chordata; Mammalia; Rodentia; Sciuridae
Source: RNAcentral